Long non-coding RNA from Pantherophis guttatus, 1959 nucleotides. RefSeq lists it as uncharacterized. Lineage: Eukaryota; Metazoa; Chordata; Lepidosauria; Squamata; Colubridae. The record is from RefSeq and is a predicted model, not a curated record.
GUAAAACGAGCAACUCCUCUCCUACCCUUACACACGCCACGAUUCCCGCCCCAGGAGGCCCGCCAAACGCGCGCGCGUCCUUUGUGAGGCUAAAAAAUAAGUCCAACUGGGAGACUUGCUGUAAGCACCAUGGUGAGCGGAUGCCUUACUGGAUUAUGCUGCGUAGCAAGACAACUUUUGGGGGGAAAAUUGCUGCUGAAUUCUGGAUCCAAGCCAGUGUAAUCUACCCAGAGCAAAGGAGAUAUCAUUGAGAUCAUCUACCUGACUCCAGACUGUGGAGCAGACUGUGGAAACUGCCAUUUUUAUGUUCAGCUUAUGAAUGGAGUAUCUGGGAAUCAGAACUACAUCAAGCUUACACUUUCAAAGCAGCAAGGUUGACUCAGCCUUCCAUCCUUCUGAGGUCGGUAAAAUGAGGACCCAGAUUGUUGGAGGCAAUAGGCUGACUCUGUAGACCGCUUAGAGCCAGCUGUAAAGCACUGUGAAGCGGUAUAUAAGUGCUAUAUAAGGACAUUGGUCUCGGGCUGAGCCUUGUAUCUUAAUCACUUUUAAAUUUGCUUAUUUAUUUAUCUGCAUAUUGGAGAGAUUAAGACCAAAUAUCUCCAAUAUUAAAACCUCUCAGCAAGGCUUUACUGCAUCAAUCAAGUGAGUUUCUGCCUCCUUAAAAGACAAUGGUGUAAAUUUGAUUUAAAUGUUUUUUUAGAAAAAAAACAUGCUGUGUUUUUUUGGGGGGGGAGGGGCUAUGCAACAAAAGGGUACCUAGUAUAUAGAUUUUGGAAAUUUGAUUAUGGAUUAAGGGGCCAGAGGUGUUUGGAAUUAUCAUUUUGAAUUGUUUAGAAAAUAUUUUGUCAUAGGAAAAUGGAGAUUACUUUUGUUUAUUUUAUGACAAGGAGACCUUGAAGGCUGAACACUAGAGUCAGAAGAUAAAGAAAGUUGAGAAAAAUCCUCAGUACAAAUUUUUGAAUAUCUUUCAAUCAGGCUUUUAAACAGAAUGGAUGAAGUACUUGAUAAAAUUGACAGAAGUUGCAAAGUAAGAAUGAGUUACAAUGGAGGUCUAUUAAUUAAUUUGAAGAGGGAUUUAAAUGUAAUGCAAAUGGAUUUAAUGGAUGACUCAUUCCCUAAAUGAAAUCAACAGAUAUUAAAUUAAGAAACUGAUCUGAAUUAUUUUCUGGAUAGAUGUCAUUUUAAAUGCAUAGUUUUAAAAUUUCAGUGCACAUACAGGUAGUCCUCAAGCACAAUUAAAUCCAAAAUUUAUGUUGCUAAGUGAGAAAUUUGUUAAGUUUGGCCCCAUUGUAUGACUUUUAUAACUUUUCUCACCAUAUUUGUUAAGUGAAUCACUGCAGUUCUUAAAUUAGUAACUUGGUUGUUAAGUGAAUUGCUUUCCCCAUUUACUUUGCUUGUCAGAAGGUCACUAAAGGGGAUUGCAUGACUCUGGACACUGAAACUGUCAUAAAUGUGAGUCAGUUGUCAAGCAUAUGAAUGUGAAUCAUAUGAUUAUGGGGAUGCUGCAACAGUCAUAAGUGUAAAAAAUGGUCAUAAGUCACUGUUUCAUUGCUAUUGUAACUUCGAACGGUCACUAAAUGAAUUGUUGUAAGUCAAAGACUAUCUGUAGUUUUAAAGUUUCAAUUGCUUUACUAUUUAUCUUUUUAUGUUCUGUAAGCCACCCAGAGUCACCCAAUUGGGGAGCUGGACAGCAUAUAAAUUAAAUAAAUAAAUGGGGGAAAAAACAGCAUUGCUAAAAUUUAGAAGGACCUUUUUUGGAAGUGACAAUCAAAAGGAUAAAUUUUGCUUAUUGAUACAAAAGAAACCUGUUAAAAUUCUGAAGGAUUUUCACUUUAAAACACAGAUGAGCAGAAAACUACCUCUUGAGACUUUUGAUUUUGAAAGGUUUAAAGAUUUUUUUUUAAUCAUGGAAAAUUUAUAUGAUUGAUUGAGCAGGAUUAAAAGAAAUAAAUAAUUGUA